Molecule: ribosomal RNA, 460 nt
Filed under: uncultured bacterium
Lineage: Bacteria
Description: partial 16S ribosomal RNA
Rfam family: Bacterial small subunit ribosomal RNA
Source: RNAcentral
CCUACGGGAGGCAGCAGUGAGGAAUAUUGGUCAAUGGACGAGAGUCUGAACCAGCCAAGUAGCGUGAAGGAUGACUGCCCUAUGGGUUGUACACUUCUUUUAUAAAGGAAUAAAACGAGGUACGUGUGCCUUUUUGCAUGUACUUUAUGAAUAAGGAUCGGCUAACUACGCGUCAGCAGCCGCGGUAAUACGGAGGAUCCGAGCGUUAUCCGGAUUUAUUGGGUUUAAAGGGAGCGUAGAGGGGUUGUUAAGUCAGGUGUGAAAGUUUGCGGCUCAACCGUAAAAUUGCAAUUGAAACUGGCGAACUUGAGUACAGUUGGGGUAGGCGGAAUUCGUGGUGUAGCGGUGAAAUGCUUAGAUAUCACGAAGAACCCCGGUUGCGAAGGCAGCUUACUAAACUGUAACUGACAUUGAUGCUCGAAAGUGUGGGUAUCAAACAGGAUUAGAUACCCCAGUAGUC